Non-coding RNA from Arachis ipaensis, 895 nucleotides. The record is from RefSeq and is a predicted model, not a curated record. Lineage: Eukaryota; Viridiplantae; Streptophyta; Magnoliopsida; Fabales; Fabaceae.
AAUAAAAAAUAAUACAUAUAAAAAUACUAAAUUAUAUAAUAUUUUUUAUUUUUUUAAAUACAUAUCUCAUAUAUAAAUAUAGUUUCUAAAAAUUUUGGGGGGGCCGAGGCCACUACUCGCCCCCCUCUAGGUCCGUCCCUGACUCCAGAGGAUAUACCUCAACAGAAAACUAAGAGUAAUGACACAAACUUAAGUCAAGUUAGUCCUACGUAUGAUUUGAUAUUAUUUUUUCCCUUUGUUUUGUUUUUCAGUACUCUGAAGAGAUUGGAAAACCAAUACCAAAGGUUGAAGUGAUGAAAUAUCUAAAGAGUAAGCACUACACGGAUGCUAAGGACUAUUCACGGGAAUGUGAAUCUGUUGUGAUGAUUGCCAAAGGACAAAGUGUGCAAGGGACAUGUAAGUAUGGAACAAGGAUAGAUUACAUAUUAUCAUCAUCAGAUUCAACAUAUAAGUUCGUAGCAGGGUCCUAUCUUGUGCUUUCUUGCUAAGGGACUUCAGAUCAUCACAUAGUCAAAGUUGAUGUGGUUAAAGAAAAUAAUAGCAUUCUAAACAGUAGUCCUCGUCAAGAAGAAAAUAAUAAUGUAACAAAGAAGCAGCAGAGAAUGAAAACACAGCCAAGUCCAUCAACUUGUAUAUGGAACAAAAACACAUACGGGAGAGAUAUAGAUUGAGUUUCUUAUUUUUCUUUUUCUUCUCUUUAAUUUGCUUACAUUAAUCAUUGCUGAAUUUAACUAUAGUUUCGAAGAUGGGGCAGUUCAGUUAGUUUUAAUUUGUUCAUGCUUCCUAAUCCUCUAAUCAUAUGUGUUCUGUAUAAAUCUGUGUUUCCUAAAAGACAAAAGAUUUACAAGAUUAUUGAGAGGCAAAAUGUCAUGUCUUACACAUUUUUCUUUUGUUA